AGAUUGAACGCUGGCGGCAUGCCUAACACAUGCAAGUCGAACGGGAGUAGCAAUACUCUAGUGGCGGACGGGUGAGGAAUACGUAGGAAUUUGCCCUUAAGUGGGGGAUAACCCGGGGAAACCCGGAUUAAUACCGCAUGACCUCGAAAGAGCAAAGUGGGGGAUCGCAAGACCUCACGCUUUUGGAGAAGCCUACGUCGGAUUAGCUAGUUGGUGAGGUAAUGGCUCACCAAGGCGACGAUCCCGUAACUGGGUCGUAGAGGAGU
RNAcentral lists this ribosomal RNA (266 nucleotides) under uncultured soil bacterium. Its description in RNAcentral is "partial 16S ribosomal RNA". It matches the Rfam family "Bacterial small subunit ribosomal RNA", at positions 26 to 301 of the family's 1533-position model. The record is from RNAcentral.